GCAGUGAGGAAUAUUGGACAAUGGGCGGGAGCCUGAUCCAGCCAUGCCGCGUGCAGGAAGACGGCCCUAUGGGUUGUAAACUGCUUUUACAGAGGAAGAAACACCCCGACGUGUCGGGACUUGACGGUACUCUGCGAAUAAGGAUCGGCUAACUCCGUGCCAGCAGCCGCGGUAAUACGGAGGAUCCAAGCGUUAUCCGGAAUCAUUGGGUUUAAAGGGUCCGUAGGCGGGACAAUCAGUCAGCGGUGAAAGUCUGUGGCUCAACCAUAGAAUUGCCAUUGAUACUGUUGUUCUUGAAUACUUAUGAAGUGGUUGGAAUAUGUAGUGUAGCGGUGAAAUGCAUAGAUAUUACAUAGAACACCGAUUGCGAAGGCAGAUCACUAAUAAUUUAUUGACGCUGAUGGACGAAAGCGUAGGUAGCGAACAGGAUUAGAUACCCUGGUAGUCUACGCCGUAAACGAUGGUUACUAGCUGUUCGGUCGCAAGACUGAGUGGCUAGCGAAAGUAUAAGUACCCACUGGUGAUCAGUUUU
This 532-nucleotide ribosomal RNA is filed under the name uncultured bacterium. RNAcentral's name for it is "bacterial SSU rRNA". It matches the Rfam family "Bacterial small subunit ribosomal RNA", at positions 351 to 873 of the family's 1533-position model. The record is from RNAcentral.